This 76-nucleotide transfer RNA is filed under the name Pleurocapsa sp. SU_196_0. RNAcentral's name for it is "tRNA-Asp". It matches the Rfam family "tRNA". Rfam says of the family: Transfer RNA (tRNA) molecules are approximately 80 nucleotides in length. Their secondary structure includes four short double-helical elements and three loops (D, anti-codon, and T loops). Further hydrogen bonds mediate the characteristic L-shaped molecular structure. tRNAs have two regions of fundamental functional importance: the anti-codon, which is responsible for specific mRNA codon recognition, and the 3' end, to which the tRNAs corresponding amino acid is attached (by aminoacyl-tRNA synthetases). tRNAs cope with the degeneracy of the genetic code in two manners: having more than one tRNA (with a specific anti-codon) for a particular amino acid; and 'wobble' base-pairing, i.e. permitting non-standard base-pairing at the 3rd anti-codon position. Lineage: Bacteria; Bacillati; Cyanobacteriota; Cyanophyceae; Pleurocapsales; Pleurocapsaceae. The record is from RNAcentral.
GGUUCUAUGGUCCAACGGCUGACGACGCUUGACUGUCUAUCUCGAGAUACGGGUUCGACUCCCGUUAGAACCGCCA